This 1487-nucleotide long non-coding RNA is filed under the name Meleagris gallopavo (turkey). RNAcentral's name for it is "lncRNA (ENSMGAG00000021102.1)". The record is from RNAcentral. Lineage: Eukaryota; Metazoa; Chordata; Aves; Galliformes; Phasianidae.
GCACUGGGUUUGCCAUGUGUUUGCACUGUCUGGCUCUGGUAAUUGUCAAACUACAGUGAGAAAAGGAUCUUCAUCUUGUCAGCAUACUUGGGAUGUCACAAGGAAGUUCUGGAAGCUUUUCUGUAAAACCAAAGACCUCAUUACUGCUUUAUUGCCUGUUACAGCAAGGAGGGUGAAUUCCACCAGGGCUGCAGGAGGAGGGCACUGCUGAAAGCUGUCCUACAACAAGCACACGGCAAAGGGAUGCUGCUGGACCUCCCACAUGUUGUCACCUUUGCUGCCCAUGGGAUGAGCCUCUCUCACUGUCACUCUUGUACAGGAGAGCUUGUCAAGUGCCAGAAGCCAAAGCCUUGAAAGACAUCUCAGUGCUGCUCGCUUACGUAACGCCAAAUCUGCUCGCACAGGCAGCAUUUCCCGUGGUGAGGAUCUGUUGUGAAAUAGAGACAAGAUGGUUGGUUAACUCAGACUGAGAAGAUCUGAUCCUUUGCUACCGACCAGGGAUUGACCUAAGGAAGAUCGUUUCCUCUCUGUUGCUGCUGUAAUCUGCAUCCUUUGUAUGGUCCCAGCUUCAAGGCAAAAGAUGUUCACAGCUACAACAAAAGGAAAGAGGAGUAUGAAAAGAUUAGUUUGAUCAAAGGAGCAUCAUGUCACACCAGAAGAUUGAUUUUCCCUUUCCUCCUGGACUGCCUGGCCCCUUCUUUCUGUGCUGCCCGUAAGGCAGCUGCAGAGCUUGCUUCCUUGUCUCACCAUGCCUUGCAUGCACGUCUUUUGAUUAUGGCUCGUCUCCUUUUAAUAUCACACAAACAAGGCUGUGUCAUGUCCCCAGUGCUGUCUGUCUGACCUAUUUGUUCUGUGAUGGAGAGAAUAGAGAGCGCUUCAGUUAUCACGCUUUCCCUGCAGGUAGGAGUCUCGGGACAGGACAUUCAGCCACCUCUCCUCUGUCCUGCAUUGUUUAGGAAGAGCAGAUAAAGGAAAGAAAAGUCUGAAUAUUUAAAGGUGAAUCAGUGCAAUGCUGGCUGUCUUUUUUGUUUACACCAGCACCGGAUCUCCGUGUACAAUUAGCUCCCGCUGUGCUGCAGAGUGCGGGCUGCAGUUUUGAUGGACAGGGAGGCAUAAAGCAAUAAUAUUUUAACACUUGGUGUCAAAUCACCUUUUGUUUAAUGGAGAUAAGGAAACAAUCCAAUUUUAAUAAUGCCUAAGCAAAAUAAGGGCUGGGGAUGAGAGGCUGGUAAGCAGUGUUGCCUGCCAGGGGGAAAACAUGUUUUAAUCCUGUGGAUCACAAAAGGAAAUUGCUAAGGCUAUAUCCCAUACAAUUAAGCCAAUUUAAGCCUGGCUAUUAGGGGAAAAGGGCUACUUGUAAACUGUGGCAUUUGAGUGCGGAGUUGUGCAGCAGCUCUGCUCUCUCACACAGCCUCAGUCUGUGCAGGGCUGCCUUUCUGCACCCUCACACCCAGGGCUGCUGAGAGCAACUGGAAUUUCAGGGAAGU